This 1449-nucleotide ribosomal RNA is filed under the name seawater metagenome. RNAcentral describes it as "bacterial LSU rRNA". It matches the Rfam family "Bacterial large subunit ribosomal RNA", at positions 1264 to 2925 of the family's 2925-position model. The record is from RNAcentral.
CUAUCCUCUUCGUCGGCAGCGUCAGAUGUGUAUAAGAGACAGAUGUACAAUCAUGAUCACCGUAUGUUCAAGGGUUUCUGCGUCCUGGUUUACAGCGCAGAGUUAUGUCCGGUCCCUAAGAGACACACGCACUCGUGUGCUUAAUGGAUGUCAUUUAUGUAAGACGGUACGUACUUCUAAAAACUACAAUUGGAUAUGGUGUAUAGUAAGUAGGUAUCCAGGAAAAUUCAUAAAUAUAUUGACCGUACCCUAAACCGACACAGGUGAACGAGUCGAAUAGACUCAGGUGAUGAGAGAACCACAUUGAAGGAACUCGGCAAAAUAUUCCCGUACCUUAGGAAGAAGGGAAGCCAAAAAUGGUGACACAAAAAUGGGGGUGACGACUUUUUACUAAAAAAUUAGGACUCUGCUAAAUGGUAACAUGACGUAUAGGGUCUGACGUCUGCCCGGUGCUAGAAGUAUAAAAGGAGUGUUGAAAGAUACGAAUGGAAAGCCUAGUAAACGGCGGUUGUAACUAUAACAAUCAUAAAGUAGCGAAAUUCAUUGCCAGCUAAUUCCUGGCCUGCAUGAAAGACGUAACGAUUGCCCCACUGUCUCCAGUGUGGACUCAGUGAAAUUGAAUUCUCCGUGCAGAUGCGGAGUACGUGCCCCAAGACGAGAAGACCCUGUGCAUCUUUACUGUACAUUUACAUUGACAAAACCAUACGUAUGUGUAGGAUAGGUGGGAGUACAAACAUCCUUGAAAUACCACCCUUACUAUGUUUUUUGUCUAACAUCGGAGAUAGACAAUGUAUGUGAGGCAGUUUGACUGGGGCGGUCGCCUCCUAAAGAGUAACGGAGGCGUGCGAAGGUAAACUCAAUGUAGAUCGGAAACCUACUGAAGAGCGUAAUGGUAUAUGUUUGCCUGACUGCAAGAUUUACAGAUCGAGCAGAGACGAAAGUCGGUCAUAAUGAUCCACAAGUACUGCGUGGAAAGGCUUGUGCUUAACGAAUCAAAGAUACGCCAGGGAUAACAGGCUGAUAAUUCCCUAGAGUCCAUAUCGACGGAAUUGUUUGGCACCUCGAUGUUGACUGAUCAUAUCCUGGGGCUGAAAAAGGUCCCAAGGGUUCGGCUGUUCGCCGAUAAAAAUGGUACCUGAGUUGAGUUUAGAACGUCGUGAGACAGUUUGGAUUCUACCUGGGGUGCGCAUAAGAAUUGAGAAAACCACAUCCUUGUACGAGAGGACCGGAUGUGUACAACCUAUGGUAUAGUAAUUGUCCGGCCACGGGCAUGGUUACUACGCUACGUUGUGAAAGGAUAAGUACUGAAAGCAUAUCAAGUACGAAACUUUUUUCAAGACAUAUUCUUUAUCGUAUUGUAUAUCGUACAAGUUGAGUACGUUAAUAGAUAAGCUGUGUAUUAUCUGUCUCUUAUACACAUCUGACGCUGCCGACGAAGAGGAUAGUGUA